Molecule: long non-coding RNA, 309 nt
Organism: Populus euphratica (Euphrates poplar)
Lineage: Eukaryota; Viridiplantae; Streptophyta; Magnoliopsida; Malpighiales; Salicaceae
Exons: 2
Source: RefSeq, a predicted model, not a curated record
AAAACCAGAUUGUUAAUCACCUACACUGACAACAACAGGCUCACCCAGCCAAGUAAAGGUUGUUUUGCAACAGCUACAACACUACAACUUUGGAUAGUGAGAAUAUCACAAAUUCUAUUGUUACAGGACAACUCCAAGAAAUUGAUACUUGUCAUUCUAAGGGCGGAUGAACAAUAGUUAACAAUUACCAAUUUACCAAUGAGGUUACAGUUCAAGCAGGCAAAGAUUUGCAAUACUCAAACCACCAAAUUGAAUGAUAACAAAUAAAAAUGUCAAUCAUUAAUUUCAAAGAUGCAUCAAAUAAGAACA